Molecule: long non-coding RNA, 1371 nt
Organism: Neofelis nebulosa (Clouded leopard)
Lineage: Eukaryota; Metazoa; Chordata; Mammalia; Carnivora; Felidae
Exons: 2
Source: RefSeq, a predicted model, not a curated record
AGGAAGCUCCAGAACUGCUCUGCACAGGUGACCAGCCAGGGGAGGAGAGGGCUCUGGUGACCGAGAGGUACACACACGGGUUCCGGAUGCGAAAUCCAAACAGGUGGUGGGAUCGACUCCACUCCUUUACCUGCUAAAGAAUGGGAAGGUAGGAAUCUGAUUUGAUGUAACUCAUGAAGAGGGUGGGGAAAGGGGGCAUUUAGAUAUCAAAAAGGUCACACUCUGAGCCCGGGGCGUGACUGUCCAGUGCUGAAAAAGCACAUAAAAUCCUGGGCUGUGCUGUUCUCCAGUCCAUACACAGUCUGGUGUUUUAAGAGCAAGAGAGGGGUGCCUGCGAGGCUCAGUCGGUUAAGCGUCCGACUUCGGCUCAGGUCACGAUCUUGCAGUUCGUGGGUUCGAGCCCCGCGUCAGGCUCUGUUUUGACAGCUAAGAGCCUGGAGCCUGCUUCGGAUUCUGUGUCUCCCUCUCUCUGCCCCACCCACCAUUUAAGCCAGAACUUGGGGGGCCUGUGGCCUUUGGGGCUUCACCCAAAACGACCAUGUGUCUCAUUCGGACAGCGUAGCCAGGUCCUCUAGCUGAACUGUCCCCUGCAUAAGGCGGUCAAGUCCCGUCUGGGGUGCAUUGCAAGUGCUUUGUCCUUAACUGUCGUUCUAGUGCCUCGAGUGACGGGGCUUACAGACCAUCUCCCCGCCUUUCUCUGGCAUGAAUGCAGAUUCUGCAGCGGCCCUGUACUAUCACUCUCGCCUCCCCUGAUGCUUUCGUACGUGAGAGUAAACAGGACGGGCUCUCAGCUCGCUCACUGGGAAUCCACACUCCCUGUGUCUCCCUACGUCCGCCCCAAAGCUCGUGGUCUGGGCGCAGCUGUGGUAGAGAGGCCCAUGCGGAGGCUACUGUUGUGUACGUCUUGCUGGGAGUCUGGGGGCAGCCAUGACUCCAGGAAGUAUCCAAGGUCUGGACUCACCUGGAAGUUUCCAGCAAUGCUUGCCCACGCGCCCUGACCCUUAAGCUAGCAUCUCAGCAAGAAUAAUGAGGAAACAUCCCCCGAGCAUCACUCAUCACCACUGGGAUCCCCGCACAUGGGCGUGGACCAGGGAACAUGCCAGCAUCACGCUGAGGGGCUUUUGCCAAAGGCCAUCGCCGCAUGGGACGCUGGGGCGUCUGCGCACCUGGUCUGGAAUGCGGCCCAGGCCAGGCGCCGCAUUUCUGGGGGAAAGCAUCUCCACCGAGACUCUUCCGGUGCCCGUGGAUCGGAGGACGGGACCGGCAUCCACGUGUCUCUGCUCCGCGGACUGUACCCUUCCACCCACAGCUGUUCUCUUUGGGAGAUUUUGUUUUAAUCUGAGUCCUUAAAGGAACUGACGUAAUGUUGAA